RNAcentral lists this unclassified non-coding RNA (759 nucleotides) under Hevea brasiliensis (rubber tree). Lineage: Eukaryota; Viridiplantae; Streptophyta; Magnoliopsida; Malpighiales; Euphorbiaceae. The record is from RNAcentral.
AAAAAAAGAAGCCAAGAACACAUGAAUCUAGCAAAGUAUAUCAUUCUCAAAAUAUUUGUGGACAGCCUAAGACAUUUCAGUCAGUUAAAUUUAUGCAUGAAAUCAGGCAACGAUGAAAUCUUAUUAUUGACUGCAUCUUGCAUUGAUUGUGAUGAUGAGAAUUCUGUUUUGACAGUAAGAAGAUAAAUGAGCCUCUUCCAACAUUAAAAUUGUAAAUGCCUGCUUCUUCUAAAAUUAGAACUAUGAAUAGCUUUUUUCCCCAUUAGAGAGAAUAGCAACCAAAAAUCAGUAACAUUUGACACAAGAAUGAAUUAAAAAAAGACAUAAAAAACAGAAAGCAUACUAGACCCAGCAGCAGUCCAAUUCAGAAUCGGAAUCAGACUGGUCUAAUCCAGAAUCAAAAUUGAUCAAAACUGGAUUGACCUAAACCAGUCUUGAACCCGACCAGAACAACCAGUCCAGUUCCGAGCCAAAACUGGAUUAUUUUUCCUUUUAAAAAAAGAGAAAAUUUUCAAUUGUUAGAAUUGAUCAAAAUUGGACUGAACCAGAACAGAACCAAAAUAAAACUGCAGAGAACCUUGUGGUAGGAUCCUAGUUCCUUUGAACCUUGAACCAGAACUGCCGGUUCUGGCCCGGUGCCCACCCCUAUAGUCCUUGUUAAGCAAUUAUUACUCAAAUUAAACUUAGUCAUAUUAAAUUAUUAUUGGAAACAUUACCAAACAAGUAAACUCCAAUACCUUUUGAAAAAUUGGAUAUUCA